RNAcentral lists this ribosomal RNA (751 nucleotides) under bacterium 181_oclvp548. RNAcentral's name for it is "bacterial SSU rRNA". It matches the Rfam family "Bacterial small subunit ribosomal RNA", at positions 51 to 804 of the family's 1533-position model. The record is from RNAcentral. RNAcentral also lists the same sequence under 1 other name.
ACACAUGCAGUCGAGGGGUAGAACACUUCGGUGUUUGAGACCGGCGCACGGGUGCGUAACGCGUAUGCAAUCUACCUUGUACAGGGGAAUAGCCCAGAGAAAUUUGGAUUAAUGCCCCAUAGUAUAUAACCUUCGCAUGUUGGUUAUAUUAAAGUUCCAACGGUACAAGAUGAGCAUGCGUCCCAUUAGUUAGUUGGUAAGGUAACGGCUUACCAAGACGAUGAUGGGUAGGGGUCCUGAGAGGGAGAUCCCCCACACUGGUACUGAGACACGGACCAGACUCCUACGGGAGGCAGCAGUGAGGAAUAUUGGUCAAUGGUCGCAAGACUGAACCAGCCAUGCCGCGUGCAGGAAGACGGUCCUAUGGAUUGUAAACUGCUUUUAUACAGGAAGAAACCCUCCCACGUGUGGGAGCUUGACGGUACUGUAGGAAUAAGGAUCGGCUAACUCCGUGCCAGCAGCCGCGGUAAUACGGAGGAUCCAAGCGUUAUCCGGAAUCAUUGGGUUUAAAGGGUCCGUAGGCGGUCUUAUAAGUCAGUGGUGAAAGCCCAUCGCUCAACGAUGGAACUGCCAUUGAUACUGUAAGACUUGAAUGCUUAGGAAGUAACUAGAAUAUGUAGUGUAGCGGUGAAAUGCUUAGAUAUUACAUGGAAUACCAAUUGCGAAGGCAGGUUACUACUAAGUGAUUGACGCUGAUGGACGAAAGCGUGGGGAGCGAACAGGAUUAGAUACCCUGGUAGUCCACGCCGUA